UGUCUGUUUGUUAGAUCAUAAAGUGGGUUCCCUUUAUGCAAAUUUGAGUUAUGUGUCAUUUUCCAGGAACGCGCUUGCAGCAUAAAGCAAGGGUAACCUGUAUAGGCUAUGGAAGGGAAGGAGUAUUAGAUGCUGCAGAGCUACAAGCUCGGAUCUGGAAUUCUACGCAGUUUUCAGGUCCCGGGGGUCUCCUCUUCUGACCCUGUUUGUUGUCAAGCAUUUGACAUGGAUGAACACCAGUACUUCAUAAAUUACAUGUAGCUCUUCUGGCUGAGAACAUCAGGGAGACCUAAUGUGCAUCAUGUUAAUGAUAACAAUGAAGAUACUUUAUUUUUUUUAACUGCACUAUGCUUUUCAUCCAAGUGAAUCCUAAUCAGGACACCUUUAUUUAGGACAUAAUUUAUAGUUUUACAAUCAGGUUAACUAGCACAAUUCCUCUGCUUUUGUACCAUUUUUGAUUAAAGUCAAAGGCAUAGCUA
Gavialis gangeticus (Gharial) is the source of this 479-nucleotide long non-coding RNA. RefSeq lists it as uncharacterized. Lineage: Eukaryota; Metazoa; Chordata; Crocodylia; Gavialidae. The transcript is spliced from 3 exons. The record is from RefSeq and is a predicted model, not a curated record.